This 388-nucleotide ribosomal RNA is filed under the name uncultured bacterium. RNAcentral's name for it is "bacterial SSU rRNA". It matches the Rfam family "Bacterial small subunit ribosomal RNA", at positions 28 to 417 of the family's 1533-position model. The record is from RNAcentral.
GACGAACGCUGGCGGCGUGCUUAACACAUGCAAGUCGAGCGGUAAGGCCCUUUCGGGGGUACACGAGCGGCGAACGGGUGAGUAACACGUGGGUGACCUGCCUUUAGCUCUGGGAUAAGCCUGGGAAACCGGGUCUAAUACCGGAUAUGACUCCAUGACGCAUGUUGUGGGGUGGAAAGCCUUGUGCGGCUAGGGAUGGGCCCGCGGCCUAUCAGCUUGUUGGUGGGGUGAUGGCCUACCAAGGCGACGACGGGUAGCCGGCCUGAGAGGGCGACCGGCCACACUGGGACUGAGACACGGCCCAGACUCCUACGGGAGGCAGCAGUGGGGAAUCUUGCGCAAUGGGCGAAAGCCUGACGCAGCGACGCCGCGUGAGGGAUGACGGCCU